AGAGCGAACGCUGGCGGCAGGCCUAACACAUGCAAGUCGAGCGCCCGUAGCAAUACGGGAGCGGCAGACGGGAUAGUAACACGUGGGAACGCGCCCUUCGGUUCGGAAUAACUCAGGGAAACUUGAGCUAAUACCGAAUACGCCCUUACGGGGAAAGAUUUAUUGCCGAAGGAACGGCCCGCGUCCGAUUAGCUAGUUGGUGAGGUAAUGGCUCACCAAGGCUACGAUCGGUAGCUGGUCUGAGAGGAUGACCAGCAUCACUGGGACUGAGACACGGCCCAGACUCCUACGGGAGGCAGCAGUGGGGAAUAUUGGACAAUGGGCGCAAGCCUGAUCCAGCCAUGCCGCGUGGAUGAUGAAGGCCUUAGGGUUGUAAAGUCCGUUUUAACGGGGAGAUAAUGACGGUACCCGUAGAAUAAGCCCCGGCUAACUUCGCGCCAGCAGCCGC
RNAcentral lists this ribosomal RNA (448 nucleotides) under uncultured bacterium. RNAcentral's name for it is "SSU rRNA". It matches the Rfam family "Bacterial small subunit ribosomal RNA", at positions 26 to 518 of the family's 1533-position model. The record is from RNAcentral.